RNAcentral lists this ribosomal RNA (253 nucleotides) under uncultured bacterium. RNAcentral's name for it is "partial 16S ribosomal RNA". It matches the Rfam family "Bacterial small subunit ribosomal RNA", at positions 524 to 776 of the family's 1533-position model. The record is from RNAcentral.
UACAGAGGGGGCAAGCGUUAUUCGGAAUUACUGGGCGUAAAGAGCGUGUAGGCGGCCAAACAGGUCCGUUGUGAAAACUGGAGGCUUAACCUCCAGACGUCGACGGAAACCGUAUGGCUAGAGUCCGGAAGAGGAGAGUGGAAUUCCUGGUGUAGCGGUGAAAUGCGCAGAUAUCAGGAAGAACACCAAUGGCGAAGGCAGCUCUCUGGGACGGUACUGACGCUGAGACGCGAAAGCGUGGGGAGCGAACAGG